This is a small nuclear RNA of Heterocephalus glaber (naked mole-rat), 182 nucleotides long. Its record names the gene U2. It matches the Rfam family "U2 spliceosomal RNA". Rfam says of the family: U2 is a small nuclear RNA (snRNA) component of the spliceosome (involved in pre-mRNA splicing). Complementary binding between U2 snRNA (in an area lying towards the 5' end but 3' to hairpin I) and the branchpoint sequence (BPS) of the intron results the bulging out of an unpaired adenosine, on the BPS, which initiates a nucleophilic attack at the intronic 5' splice site, thus starting the first of two transesterification reactions that mediate splicing. NCBI's taxonomy places the organism in Eukaryota, Metazoa, Chordata, Mammalia, Rodentia, Bathyergidae. The record is from Ensembl.
CUUCAUAAGGGUUUUUACUUCCUUCAAAAUCUGUUCUUAUCAGUGUAAUAUCUGAUAUAUGGUCUCUCUGAGUACAGUAUAUCAAAUAGAUUUCUGGAGCUGGGAGAUGGAAUAGGAGCUUGCUCUGUCUACUCUAUACAUUGACCUGGUAUUGAAGCAUCUCCAGGAAGGAUGAAGCCCCU